UUUUUUCACGAAAUGUUAAAACCCCCGCCCAGCUUAAACGACGGCGUUUUGCGUGUAUAAGGCGUCGUUCUCUUUUAUUUUGAUUAAAACCCUCCCACCGUCUCGAUCAGUUAUCUCCCCCAGCUCUCUCCUCUCUCUGGUCUCGUCUCUCUGAUCUCUCUACGCUCUCUCUCGGCUCUCUCUCUUACUUAAUUUACAACUACGAUCAGAAUUUGUGGUUAAAUGCUACUACGAUCAUUAUGAUUGCAAGUUACUAAUAGAGCCUUGAGAUCAUGGGAGUAGGGCUCUAUUAGAACUGAGAGGACACAGCGGUAUAGGUAUAUUUCUGCAACGUCUAAAGACUUCAAUUUGUGUUGUGAUCGGGUAUUGAUAAGGUCCAGAUGCAUAAUCACAUCACAAAGUUAUGGGAAAGGGAGACAACAGUGCUAAGACGACAAGUGCAGGACUUGCAAGAGAGUCACAGGUAAUUGCGGAGGCAACUAAGGAUGUCACCGAUGGUGAGAGUUCGGAAAAUGACAUUGAUGGGGAUGAUGAUGGUGAUGGCGAUGAGGAAGAUUGAAAUGAAGCUACCUAGCUAGAUGCAUUAUUGGUAGGGAUGCUGCUUUUGUUAAAACAUUGUUUUUUGCUUUUAAUUGUUCAGUUGUAAUGUAUAUGAUUGUUGGCUUUUGUUGGCUUUUGGCUGAUUGUUCAGCUGUAACAUUUAUGUCAUACUGAAUUUUAUAACUGUUCUUUUGUAAAUAUAUGAAUGCUUGUUGGCUUUUAAAUUAUGUCGUACUGAAUUUUAAUGGAUAUGAUUCUUGAUUUUGGGUUUGAAA
Molecule: long non-coding RNA, 815 nt
Organism: Daucus carota subsp. sativus
Lineage: Eukaryota; Viridiplantae; Streptophyta; Magnoliopsida; Apiales; Apiaceae
Exons: 4
Source: RefSeq, a predicted model, not a curated record